RNAcentral lists this transfer RNA (73 nucleotides) under Camelus bactrianus (Bactrian camel). It matches the Rfam family "tRNA". Rfam says of the family: Transfer RNA (tRNA) molecules are approximately 80 nucleotides in length. The record is from Rfam by way of RNAcentral. RNAcentral also lists the same sequence under 2 other names. Lineage: Eukaryota; Metazoa; Chordata; Mammalia; Artiodactyla; Camelidae.
GAGGGUACAGCUCAGUGGUAGAGCACCUGCUUUAGCAUGCGUGAGGUCCUGGGUUCAAUCCCCAGUACUACCG